UCCCUGAUGGCUCAGAGGUUAAAGCGUCUGCCUGCAAUGCGGGAGACCUGGGUUCAAUCCCUGGGUUGGGAA
This 72-nucleotide transfer RNA is filed under the name Bos taurus (domestic cattle). It matches the Rfam family "tRNA". Rfam says of the family: Transfer RNA (tRNA) molecules are approximately 80 nucleotides in length. Their secondary structure includes four short double-helical elements and three loops (D, anti-codon, and T loops). Lineage: Eukaryota; Metazoa; Chordata; Mammalia; Artiodactyla; Bovidae. The record is from Rfam by way of RNAcentral. RNAcentral also lists the same sequence under 1 other name.